RNAcentral lists this ribosomal RNA (253 nucleotides) under uncultured bacterium. RNAcentral describes it as "partial 16S ribosomal RNA". It matches the Rfam family "Bacterial small subunit ribosomal RNA", at positions 524 to 776 of the family's 1533-position model. The record is from RNAcentral.
UACGUAGGGUCCGAGCGUUGUCCGGAAUUAUUAGGCGUAAAGGGCUCGUAGGCGGUUUGUCGCGUCGGGAGUGAAAACUCAGGGCUCAACCCUGAGCGUGCUUCCGAUACGGGCAGACUAGAGGUAUGCAGGGGAGAACGGAAUUCCUGGUGUAGCGGUGGAAUGCGCAGAUAUCAGGAGGAACACCGGUGGCGAAGGCGGUUCUCUGGGCAUGACCUGACGCUGAGGAGCGAAAGCAUGGGGAGCGAACAGG